UUCCAAUCUAUAUAGUUGAAUUAAAGUGCAAAGAGGAUAAAAAUUUAACAAAUUGAACUCCAAGAUGCAUAUAAGAAUGCUUUGUCAUUACAAGCCUCCAUUCAUUCUUCAUCAUUUCAAGUUGCAGCAACAAAAUACAUGACAAGACACUUAUCAGUAGCUUCCCAUGACCAUGAUAGUGGAUACCAUGAACUGCAUAUCUUGCUUUCGCAAGCCAAAUCCCUGUACCAGAUAUUCAUCUUCACAUCAUAAACCCUGUUUCUUAUCGAGUCAACGGCUUUCAACACACAUAAAUACAUAUAAUUUUUGAUGUUAUAAACCACAAAACAUGACUUGUAAUUCUAACCUUUCACAAAGAUACUACACUCCAUAUCAUAACCAUGGCAGAGAAAGAUGAGACCCCUUGGCUCUGAACUUGGCACCUGCCAAAAAAAUAAAAAGCUUAAACAAUAAAGAAAAGCAUAUUAGACAUCAAAAAAACAGAAUCAUCAAUGUAUUAAAUUGUCAUUGCACUAAACUUGACAUAAUAUAUAGCCAUGAAUCACGAUUGAACAUCUGAGCUUAUUACAUUAACUAAAAUUUUAAGAAAGCACAUUUGCAUGAGUGGAUGACUUUAGUAAAAACAACCUGAUCACAAAUUAAUGAAAUUUAUAUUUCAAUUCAUGAAAUAUGGUGUAGGCCUUACAACACCAUAUCCAGUUGAGACAACCAAAAGAAGCAAGCGAGUAAGAGUCUUCUUGACAGAAAUUAUAGUUGUUGCCCACAAUGUAAUGUCCACUGGCCUAAUUCCAGUAGCAUUAAGAUUAACAUACUCAAAAUACCAACAAGUUAAGCUUAUAGGUUUAGUAUUACAAAUCUUGUAACUCAACACCAUCUUCUUGUUGUUUCAAGAUUCUCAUCAGACUUGUGAAUAUAUAUAACAGUCAAAUUACCUGGGUAAACAUUAUAGUCUAAAAUAUGUGGUGUCUCAGAGUGAUAGUCAGCUGCCAUUUAAAUUUAAAAUGGAUCAAACUUGGGCAUACAACAAUAUAUGUGAAAGUCAGGGAAUCACAAUUCACACAGGGAUUUUGAAUUUUACAAAUAUAUAUGCAAGACCUGUUUAUCUUUGAAUUUUAUUAUACUCUUCCCAUCUAGCUAGUAACAACAAAGCGUACAACUCUCAAAAAAUGAAUCAGCUCUUCUCAUACAACUUAUAUCCAGACUUACUAGAGAUGCAUCUCUUUCCACCAGACCACAUUUUGUGGCAACAGACUAAUCAAAAGCACCAUAUUCUCCAAUAACAGAUGACUGCCAACUGCUAAAUAUAUAUAAAUAACAUCUUAAAGUCAUAUAAAGAUGUCCACAAUAUGUUAGAGAUUUACAAACCUCAUCAGCCAAAACUAAAACUAAAUUAAUAAAAUUAAUAAAAUCAUCUCUCUCCAAACACACAGAUGCAAAACAACAUCCAUCACUUUGUUCACUAAUCACUAUAAUAUACACAACUACAAAUAAAAUCACACACAAAAAAAAAUCGCAUAUAGAUUCCAAUUUUGUCCACAAAUCAAGUAUAAUUAGAGAGCCAAAACCAUUCUUUUACCUCUUUAUAAGGUAAAUUGUUGUUAAAUCAAGCAGAGAGGUCAACGCCGACAUCAAAAACUUGAACCGUCUGGGGUCACUACCGGCACAACAGAUCUGAGUAAGACUUGUAGAAAAUGAGAUAGAGACACAGAGAGAGACCAGGUGGGGGG
This 1727-nucleotide long non-coding RNA is filed under the name Daucus carota (carrot). RNAcentral's name for it is "long non-coding RNA (DCAR_LNC000953)". Lineage: Eukaryota; Viridiplantae; Streptophyta; Magnoliopsida; Apiales; Apiaceae. The record is from RNAcentral.